RNAcentral lists this ribosomal RNA (497 nucleotides) under uncultured bacterium. Its description in RNAcentral is "partial 16S ribosomal RNA". It matches the Rfam family "Bacterial small subunit ribosomal RNA", at positions 28 to 507 of the family's 1533-position model. The record is from RNAcentral.
GAUGAACGCUGACGGCGUGCCUAAUACAUGCAAGUCGAGCGAACAGACGAGGAGCUUGCUCCUCUGACGUUAGCGGCGGACGGGUGAGUAACACGUGGAUAACCUACCUAUAAGACUGGGAUAACUUCGGGAAACCGGAGCUAAUACCGGAUAAUAUAUUGAACCGCAUGGUUCAAUAGUGAAAGACGGUUUUGCUGUCACUUAUAUAUGGAUCCGCGCCGCAUUAGCUAGUUGGUAAGGUAACGGCUUACCAAGGCAACGAUGCGUAGCCGACCUGAGAGGGUGAUCGGCCACACUGGAACUGAGACACGGUCCAGACUCCUACGGGAGGCAGCAGUAGGGAAUCUUCCGCAAUGGGCGAAAGCCUGACGGAGCAACGCCGCGUGAGUGAUGAAGGUCUUCGGAUCGUAAAACUCUGUUAUUAGGGAAGAACAAAUGUGUAAGUAACUAUGCACGUCUUGACGGUACCUAAUCAGAAAGCCACGGCUAACUACGUG